GAUGAACGCUGGCGGCGUGCCUAAUACAUGCAAGUCGAGCGAACAGACGAGGAGCUUGCUCCUCUGACGUUAGCGGCGGACGGGUGAGUAACACGUGGAUAACCUACCUAUAAGACUGGGAUAACUUCGGGAAACCGGAGCUAAUACCGGAUAACAUGUUGAACCGCAUGGUUCAACAGUGAAAGACGGUCUUGCUGUCACUUAUAGAUGGAUCCUCGCCGCAUUAGCUAGUUGGUAAGGUAACGGCUUACCAAGGCAACGAUGCGUAGCCGACCUGAGAGGGUGAUCGGCCACACUGGAACUGAGACACGGUCCAGACUCCUACGGGAGGCAGCAGUAGGGAAUCUUCCGCAAUGGGCGAAAGCCUGACGGAGCAACGCCGCGUGAGUGAAGAAGGUCUUCGGAUCGUAAAACUCUGUUAUUAGGGAAGAACAAAUGUGUAAGUAACUAUGCACGUCUUGACGGUACCUAAUCAGAAAGCCACGGCUAACUACGUG
Molecule: ribosomal RNA, 497 nt
Filed under: uncultured bacterium
Lineage: Bacteria
Description: partial 16S ribosomal RNA
Rfam family: Bacterial small subunit ribosomal RNA
Source: RNAcentral